This 253-nucleotide ribosomal RNA is filed under the name uncultured bacterium. RNAcentral's name for it is "partial 16S ribosomal RNA". It matches the Rfam family "Bacterial small subunit ribosomal RNA", at positions 524 to 776 of the family's 1533-position model. The record is from RNAcentral.
UACGUAGGGUGCGAGCGUUAAUCGGAAUUACUGGGCGUAAAGCGUGCGUAGGCGGUCCCGCAAGUCCGCUGUGAAAGCCCCGAGCUUAACUUGGGAACUGCAGUGGAAACUAUGGGACUUGAAUCCGGCAGAGGGGGGUGGAAUGCCACGUGUAGCAGUGAAAUGCGUAGAGAUGUGGCGGAACACCGGUGGCGAAGGCGGCUCUCUGGGCCUUACCUGACGCUGAGGAGCGAAAGCGUGGGUAGCGAACAGG